UGAGGUAUUGAGCAAUUGGUGGCUCGCUUGACUGUAGAUCAAGUUCUUUAUAGACUUGGGGGUUCGAAUCCCUCUACCUCAA
RNAcentral lists this transfer RNA (82 nucleotides) under Bacteroidota bacterium. RNAcentral describes it as "Bacteroidetes bacterium tRNA-Tyr". It matches the Rfam family "tRNA". Rfam says of the family: Transfer RNA (tRNA) molecules are approximately 80 nucleotides in length. Their secondary structure includes four short double-helical elements and three loops (D, anti-codon, and T loops). Further hydrogen bonds mediate the characteristic L-shaped molecular structure. tRNAs have two regions of fundamental functional importance: the anti-codon, which is responsible for specific mRNA codon recognition, and the 3' end, to which the tRNAs corresponding amino acid is attached (by aminoacyl-tRNA synthetases). tRNAs cope with the degeneracy of the genetic code in two manners: having more than one tRNA (with a specific anti-codon) for a particular amino acid; and 'wobble' base-pairing, i.e. permitting non-standard base-pairing at the 3rd anti-codon position. Lineage: Bacteria; Pseudomonadati; Bacteroidota. The record is from RNAcentral.